UACGGGGGGGGCAAGCGUUGUUCGGAAUUACUGGGCGUAAAGCGCGCGUAGGCGGCUUUUCAAGUCGGGCGUGAAAGCCCCGGGCUUAACCCGGGAAUGGCGCUCGAUACUGUUGUGCUAGAGUGCGGAAGGGGCUACUGGAAUUCUCGGUGUAGCGGUGAAAUGCGUAGAUAUCGAGAGGAACACCUGCGGCGAAGGCGGGUAGCUGGGCCGACACUGACGCUGAGGCGCGAAAGCAAGGGGAGCGAACGGG
RNAcentral lists this ribosomal RNA (253 nucleotides) under uncultured bacterium. Its description in RNAcentral is "partial 16S ribosomal RNA". It matches the Rfam family "Bacterial small subunit ribosomal RNA", at positions 524 to 776 of the family's 1533-position model. The record is from RNAcentral.